GACAGAGGAGCCAAGCGUUGUCCGGAUUGACUGGGCGUAAAGCGCACGCAGGCGGCUGUGCACGUGGGGUGUGAAAGCUGGCGGCUUAACUGCCAGACGCCACCUCAUACGGCACGGCUCGAGCCCGUGAGAGGUCCACGGAAUUGCCGGUGUAGUGGUGAAAUGCGUAGAGAUCGGCAGGAACACCGGUGGUGUAGACGGCUUUCUGGACCGUAACUGACGCUGAGACACGAAAGCGUGGGUAGCAAACAGG
RNAcentral lists this ribosomal RNA (253 nucleotides) under uncultured prokaryote. RNAcentral describes it as "partial 16S ribosomal RNA". It matches the Rfam family "Bacterial small subunit ribosomal RNA", at positions 524 to 776 of the family's 1533-position model. The record is from RNAcentral.